UUUCCGGUUAUCCGGAUUCUGGGCGUAAGCGCGCGUAGGCGGUUUGUUAAGUCAGAUGUGAAAUCUCGGGCUCAACCUGGGAAUGGCAUUUGAGACUGGCAGGCUAGAGUGUGGUAGAGGUGAGUGGAAUUUCAGGUGUAGCGGUGAAAUGCGUAGAGAUCUGAAGGAACAUCAGUGGCGAAGGCGACUCACUGGGCCAUUACUGACGCUGAGGUGCGAAAGCGUGGGUAGCAAACAGGAUUAGAUACCCUGGUAGUCCACGCCCUAAACGAUGUCAACUAGGUGUAUGGAGAAUUUAUUCUUUGUGUAUCGAAGCUAACGCGAUAAGUUGACCGCCUGGGGAGUACGGUCGCAAGACUAAAACUCAAAUGAAUUGACGGGGGCCCGCACAAGCGGUGGAGCAUGUGGUUUAAUUCGAUGCAACGCGAAGAACCUUACCUGGCCUUGACAUGUACGGAAGAUUGAAGAGAUUCGAUUGUGCCUUCGGGAACCGUAACACA
Molecule: ribosomal RNA, 500 nt
Filed under: uncultured Methylophaga sp.
Lineage: Bacteria; Pseudomonadati; Pseudomonadota; Gammaproteobacteria; Thiotrichales; Piscirickettsiaceae
Description: bacterial SSU rRNA
Rfam family: Bacterial small subunit ribosomal RNA
Source: RNAcentral